RNAcentral lists this transfer RNA (72 nucleotides) under Camelus bactrianus (Bactrian camel). It matches the Rfam family "tRNA". From Rfam's summary of the family: Transfer RNA (tRNA) molecules are approximately 80 nucleotides in length. Their secondary structure includes four short double-helical elements and three loops (D, anti-codon, and T loops). RNAcentral also lists the same sequence under 2 other names. The record is from Rfam by way of RNAcentral. Lineage: Eukaryota; Metazoa; Chordata; Mammalia; Artiodactyla; Camelidae.
GGAGGUAUAGCUCAGAGGCAGAGCACAUGCUUAGCAUGCAUGAGGCCCUGGGUUCUUUCCCCAGUACCUCCA